Molecule: long non-coding RNA, 2805 nt
Organism: Megalobrama amblycephala (Wuchang bream)
Lineage: Eukaryota; Metazoa; Chordata; Actinopteri; Cypriniformes; Xenocyprididae
Exons: 5
Source: RefSeq, a predicted model, not a curated record
AACUGGUUAUUUUCAACUACAAAUAAAUAUAAGAAAUGUACGUUUUAUUCAGUUAACAUUUAUUUCAAGUAAUGAAAAAUGUUUUUUUCAUGAUUAUAGAUUUUGUUAGUCUUUCCUUCCUGUGAUGGGGCAUCCCAGACAGAAGCUAGAAGUUUACUUUAAAUUAAUUAUACAUUAAAUUUAAAUUAGAUUAAAUAAAGUUUGUGUAACUGGGGUGGAAAUUGGACACAUUGCGUGACUUUUACUCAUAUACAAGCCCGAAAUGCACCGGGACACUUAUUUUGAAAUGUCUAAAGCUUUAUUUUUUCAGACCGCUCAUUCAAAUUCAAAUGAGGGAGAUAAAAUAUGCAUUCUACAUUCAUACAACAUAUUAAAAUAUAAACAAUGUAAUGUAAACAUUGUCAUAAUUAAUCAGCAUUUAGUUCAUAUGCGAUUGCUUGUCAUAAAUGUGUGCUUUUAUCUGAUUGUGAUCUGCUCUGAAGCAGUCUGAAGAACGCACAACAGCGCCACGUUCAGGCUUUGAAACGUGAAGCACUCACAUUUAUUUUAUUAAAUCAAAGCUUAAAUUAACAUUAUUGUUAUGAUUUGUAUAGCAUUAUUAUUAAGAUUUAUUAUUCUAAUUACGGAUUUGCCUCAUCACAAAAUUCUCUUAUAGCGAAUGUGUGAUUCUAUUGGUUGUACAAUAAAAGCUCGCUGCUGAUUGGCUGUGAAAUCAUCAACCCCAGCUGUUGCCACUGAUCAUCGUCCCACUCUAUUCUCUCGAGGUGAGUUAGACGGCUGUUGUUAAAUAUGCUGUAUUAUAAAGCCUUGUAGCCUAAUGUGAAAUGAUGCUCCUUAUGUAGGCAAUAUUAUUCGUAUUAUAAUGUGGUGUAUAGUUUAUAUCGUUUUUGUUGACAUUAAAUGUACCUUUAUAUCUGAAGAUCGUAUGUGUUUGAUACUUAAUGUUUACAGCUAACGUUAGCCAUACUUUCAUCUUUGUGUGAAAACGUAACGUGAUAUUGUGUGUAUUUGAUUGAUAUUACGUUUGCCAUUUGCAUUUAGCAUUACCCACUGCAUGCUGAGGAGUGUUAAUUUUGGCGCUCAUUUUAAGCUAACGUUACAGCAUCCACUGUGGUAGCUUAUGAGAUGAUGUACAAGUUUGUAUUUUACAUGCAUGCAUAUGGAUGCAUAAAUAUUACGAUGAAAAGUGUCGAUUGCUGCAUUAAAUCGAUUUAGAUUUAGAUUUUAGGUUCAUGUCAAUCAACGACAGCGUUGACCAAUCACACGCGUUUUCGCUGAGCUUAGGAACGGAAUAUCCAAUCGAAGGCAGUUGAUUAGUCAUCGGUGAAGAAACCCGGUGAGAACUGAAUGCGCGCUCACUGACAGAAUUCUCUGUCAUAAACAACAAAGUGCAGAUAUGAUGUAUGUAAGAAAUUAAUUUAUGCGAUGUAGACAGAUUUAUUGAAUAUAACGGGUGUUUUUGUCUGUUCUUGGGUACUAUUUGAGAGAGAGCCUCGAAAACCCUUGAUUUCGUGCCACGCAGUCAUGUGGUUCAUUUAGCACCAAUCAGCGCUGUCAAUCUUUGAAUGGAUAUAGACCUAGGAUACAACAAAAUAAUAACGCACAAUGUGAAUCAUAUCGCAUUGAUUACUACUUUGACGACAUUUACAGUAGCAUUUAUUUUUAUAAUUAAUAUUACAAUUGAAUUAAAAUUAUUUUGACAUUUAUAGAGACAGUAUUUUUAGAAAAGGUAAUCUUAAUGAAAUAAGGAACAGCAGAGAGUACAUUUCACUUUAGAGCAGGUUGUCUGUGAGAUGUUUACAGUUGAAAAAUGUUUUCAGUCUUUGCAAUGAAAGUUAAAGUGAGAGUGGAGUUCUUGAGUUUAUGACAUUCUUGUUUCUCUGUUUCAGAAUACUGUUUCACGAGCACUCUUUACUGCAUUUUGAGACUGACAGAGCACAACCUGCAUUCAUCGCUGCACUUUUCUCCUUGGUUCCUUCUGUUUUGACUUUUGGCUUUUUCUACAGAGAGCAGUUCAUUUGUUUGAUUUUCUGUAUUCUGUAUUCUGCAUUUAAAAAAAGUUUAUUUUAAUAGACAGUUUUUUUUUUUUAUUAUUGUUUUUUUUAGAUUUUUUUUUUUAUUUAUUUUUAUUUUUUUGGAAUAAUAUUUGUAGAUCUAAUUUAUAAAUAUUAAUUAGUUCUUUUUCUGUUUUUUUUUAGUCUAUAUUCUCAUACAUAAGUUCAUUUUACUUGUUCUUUUCUUGAAAAAAAAAAAAAAAAAAAAAAAUUGUUUAUUGCAUUUUACAAGUUUACCCAGUGUCUCUUUCAUUGUUGUUUAACAGUUUUUUCUUCUUGAGACUACUACAGGUUUUAUCUUUUCAGGCUCAAGAGCUGUUACGCCAGGAGGACUUUCAAAGAUGCCGCGGAAAGGAAAGAGAUCUCAAGCUCAAAAAAUCCGUUGGAGAAAGUUGACCUGGGAAGACCUGGAAGAUGAACAGACCAGACUCUCCAGGAUUAACAAGGUUGAACAGGCAAGCACCAGUGCUGAUGUAGCUCAGUUUUCAGAUAGUGUGUAUGCAGAAGGUGGUGAUAGUGCACCCAGGGUUUGGUCUGUGCGGGCAUCUCAUUGUCAGAAUGAUGUUAGGUAUGAUGAAUUCUCGAGAAAUCAUCAAUGCACAUGUAUAGCAUUGACAUUUUUGGCCAACCAGAGUGAAGGGAUUCAGUUCAAAAUGCCUGACCUGGAUAGAGUUUUAGAGGAGGGUGAUGCUUUGUAUGUCGGGAUUAAAAUGCAGCUCAUUGCUGAGGAAAGAUUUGAUCGGAACCAUCU